Molecule: ribosomal RNA, 403 nt
Filed under: uncultured bacterium
Lineage: Bacteria
Description: partial 16S ribosomal RNA
Rfam family: Bacterial small subunit ribosomal RNA
Source: RNAcentral
AUUGAACGCUGGCGGCAGGCCUACCACAUGCACGUCGAGCGAGCGGCGGACGGGUGAGUAAUGUAUGGGGACUGCCCGAAAGAGGGGGAUAACUACUGGAAACGGUUGCUAAUCCCGCAUACUAUCGGAUAACCCAUAUGGGAUUAGCUAGUCGGUGGGGUAACGGCUCACCUAGGCGACGAUCUCUAGCUGGUCUGAGAGGAUGAUCAGUCACACUGGUACGUAGACACGGCCCAGACUCCUACGGAGGCAGCAGUGGGGAAUAGUGCACAAUGGGCGCAAGCCUGAUGCAGCCAUGCCGCGUGUAUGAAGAAGGCCUUAGGUUUGUAAAGUACUUUCAGCGGGGAGGCGUUACCCGCAGAAGAAGCACCGGCUAACUCCGUGCCAGCAGCCGCGGUAAUUC